Molecule: unclassified non-coding RNA, 382 nt
Filed under: Hevea brasiliensis (rubber tree)
Lineage: Eukaryota; Viridiplantae; Streptophyta; Magnoliopsida; Malpighiales; Euphorbiaceae
Source: RNAcentral
UUUCUUUUUUCUUUUUUUUUUUACCCCCAAAAUUUGGAUAAUGACAUUUCCAGGGAAAUAUAAAAUGAGCUGCAGAAUUUUGCAUAGGAAACUCAGUCUUGCUUUUACAGAAGAAAACACAUCGAUUCUUGAUAGGUUUGUCUGGUUCUACCUUAAAUCACUUUGGCUGGCUUCUGCUUGUUCGCUUCAGUUGGUCCUCCUUUAACGCCAGUUUCUGAUAGAAAUAUCUCUAGCUGGCUUCCUGAAUGCAAUGGAUUAUAGAUGUUUGUUUUGAUCAUAAUUCUAUUGAAGAUCUUCUCCUUCGUUGUUUGUGGGCUUUUCUUUAUUGAAUUCUUGCAAAAUUGCUUUCUUUCUUCCUUUAAAAAAUUGCUUUGCUUUCUUG